This 1527-nucleotide ribosomal RNA is filed under the name Salmonella enterica subsp. enterica serovar Muenster. Its description in RNAcentral is "partial 23S ribosomal RNA". It matches the Rfam family "Bacterial large subunit ribosomal RNA", at positions 1292 to 2802 of the family's 2925-position model. Lineage: Bacteria; Pseudomonadati; Pseudomonadota; Gammaproteobacteria; Enterobacterales; Enterobacteriaceae. The record is from RNAcentral.
GAAUGCUGACAUAAGUAACGAUAAAGCGGGUGAAAAGCCCGCUCGCCGGAAGACCAAGGGUUCCUGUCCAACGUUAAUCGGGGCAGGGUGAGUCGACCCCUAAGGCGAGGCCGAAAGGCGUAGUCGAUGGGAAACGGGUUAAUAUUCCCGUACUUGGUGUUACUGCGAAGGGGGGACGGAGAAGGCUAUGUUGGCCGGGCGACGGUUGUCCCGGUUUAAGCGUGUAGGUGUGUGUUCCAGGUAAAUCCGGUUCACUUUAACACUGAGGCGUGAUGACGAGGCACUACGGUGCUGAAGCAACAAAUGCCCUGCUUCCAGGAAAAGCCUCUAAGCAUCAGGUAACAUCAAAUCGUACCCCAAACCGACACAGGUGGUCAGGUAGAGAAUACCAAGGCGCUUGAGAGAACUCGGGUGAAGGAACUAGGCAAAAUGGUGCCGUAACUUCGGGAGAAGGCACGCUGACACGUAGGUGAAGUGAUUUACUCACGGAGCUGAAGUCAGUCGAAGAUACCAGCUGGCUGCAACUGUUUAUUAAAAACACAGCACUGUGCAAACACGAAAGUGGACGUAUACGGUGUGACGCCUGCCCGGUGCCGGAAGGUUAAUUGAUGGGGUCAGCGCAAGCGAAGCUCCUGAUCGAAGCCCCGGUAAACGGCGGCCGUAACUAUAACGGUCCUAAGGUAGCGAAAUUCCUUGUCGGGUAAGUUCCGACCUGCACGAAUGGCGUAAUGAUGGCCAGGCUGUCUCCACCCGAGACUCAGUGAAAUUGAACUCGCUGUGAAGAUGCAGUGUACCCGCGGCAAGACGGAAAGACCCCGUGAACCUUUACUAUAGCUUGACACUGAACAUUGAGCCUUGAUGUGUAGGAUAGGUGGGAGGCUUUGAAGUGUGGACGCCAGUCUGCAUGGAGCCGGCCUUGAAAUACCACCCUUUAAUGUUUGAUGUUCUAACGUGGACCCGUGAUCCGGGUUGCGGACAGUGUCUGGUGGGUAGUUUGACUGGGGCGGUCUCCUCCUAAAGAGUAACGGAGGAGCACGAAGGUUGGCUAAUCCUGGUCGGACAUCAGGAGGUUAGUGCAAUGGCAUAAGCCAGCUUGACUGCGAGCGUGACGGCGCGAGCAGGUGCGAAAGCAGGUCAUAGUGAUCCGGUGGUUCUGAAUGGAAGGGCCAUCGCUCAACGGAUAAAAGGUACUCCGGGGAUAACAGGCUGAUACCGCCCAAGAGUUCAUAUCGACGGCGGUGUUUGGCACCUCGAUGUCGGCUCAUCACAUCCUGGGGCUGAAGUAGGUCCCAAGGGUAUGGCUGUUCGCCAUUUAAAGUGGUACGCGAGCUGGGUUUAGAACGUCGUGAGACAGUUCGGUCCCUAUCUGCCGUGGGCGCUGGAGAACUGAGGGGGGCUGCUCCUAGUACGAGAGGACCGGAGUGGACGCAUCACUGGUGUUCGGGUUGUCAUGCCAAUGGCACUGCCCGGUAGCUAAAUGCGGAAGAGAUAAGUGCUGAAAGCAUCUAAGCACGAAACUUGCCCCGA